AUACAGUCGACGAGCCUCAAACAGGACGAAAUGCGCGUCCUGGAU
Molecule: non-coding RNA, 45 nt
Filed under: Schistosoma margrebowiei
Lineage: Eukaryota; Metazoa; Platyhelminthes; Trematoda; Strigeidida; Schistosomatidae
Source: RNAcentral